UACGUAGGGUGCGAGCGUUAAUCGGAAUUACUGGGCGUAAAGCGUGCGCAGGCGGUUCUGAAAGUCAGUUGUGAAAGCCCCGGGCUUAACCUGGGAACUGCGGUUGAAACUACAGGACUAGAAUCUGGCAGAGGGGGGUGGAAUUCCACGUGUAGCAGUGAAAUGCGUAGAGAUGUGGAGGAACACCGAUGGCGAAGGCAGCCCCCUGGGCUGAGAUUGACGCUCAGGCACGAAAGCGUGGGGAGCAAACAGG
This 253-nucleotide ribosomal RNA is filed under the name uncultured bacterium. RNAcentral's name for it is "partial 16S ribosomal RNA". It matches the Rfam family "Bacterial small subunit ribosomal RNA", at positions 524 to 776 of the family's 1533-position model. The record is from RNAcentral.